AGCCGACCCUGCUCAGCCCACCCCUGAGAUCACGCAGCCGGCACUGGCGCACACUGGGGGGACUCUGGGCGCUGCUCUCACCGCCAAAGAGACGAGCUCUGAGGCGGAAAAGAGGGAGACUGGAAGGAUCAGCAGACAGAGCUGCCCCCGUGCUUGCCCCUGAGGGACUUCCCCGACUCCGCUCCGGUCAUGUCCUCAGACCUGGGACAUGCGACAGAGAGCCUCUCCACCCUGAGUGUGCUGGGGGCCCAGUCAGGAGGGGCUCAGGUCUGCAGAGGCCGUCUCUCACCCAGCUCGUUUCGUUCGGCGUUGAGGUCUCAGGCCGCUGCCUCUGUCACAGACCUGCGUACAGAACCCCAGCUGGCUUUGAGGGGAC
RNAcentral lists this long non-coding RNA (376 nucleotides) under Macaca nemestrina (pig-tailed macaque). RNAcentral describes it as "lncRNA (ENSMNEG00000046166.1)". The record is from RNAcentral. Lineage: Eukaryota; Metazoa; Chordata; Mammalia; Primates; Cercopithecidae.